GUGUCAGCAGCCGCGGUAAUACGAAGGGUGCAAGCGUUACUCGGAAUUACUGGGCGUAAAGCGUGCGUAGGUGGUUCGUUAAGUCUGUCGUGAAAGCCCCGGGCUCAACCUGGGAAUGGCGAUGGAUACUGGCGGGCUAGAGUGCGGUAGAGGGUGGUGGAAUUCCCGGUGUAGCAGUGAAAUGCGUAGAGAUCGGGAGGAACAUCAGUUGCGAAGGCGGCCACCUGGACCAGCACUGACACUGAGGCACGAAAGCGUGGGGAGCAAACAGGAUUAGAAACCCUUGUAGUCC
This 292-nucleotide ribosomal RNA is filed under the name uncultured bacterium. Its description in RNAcentral is "partial 16S ribosomal RNA". It matches the Rfam family "Bacterial small subunit ribosomal RNA", at positions 505 to 796 of the family's 1533-position model. The record is from RNAcentral.